CCUACGGGAUGCUGCAGUGGGGAAUAUUGCGCAAUGGGCGAAAGCCUGACGCAGCGACGCCGCGUGAGGGAUGAAGGUCUUCGGAUCGUUAACCUCUGUCAGCAGGGAAGAACGGUCACUGUGCUAAUCAGCAGUGAAUUGACGGUACCUGCAAAGGUAGCACCGGCUAACUCCGUGCAAGCAGCCGCGGUAAUACGGAGGGUGCGAGCGUUAAUCGGAAUUACUGGGGGUAAAGCGCUCGUAGGCGGUAUGUCAAGUCAAGGGUGAAAGCCCCGCGCUCAACGGGGGAACUACCUUUGAAACUGGCAAACUGGAGUGUGUGAGAGGAUAGUGGAAUUCCAGGUGUAGGAGUGAAAUCCGUAGAUAUCUGGAGGAACAUCAGUGGCGAAGGCGACUAUCUGGCACAUAACUGACGCUGAGGAGCGAAAGCGUGGGUAGCAAACAGGAUUAGAUACCCGGGUAGUC
This 465-nucleotide ribosomal RNA is filed under the name uncultured bacterium. RNAcentral's name for it is "partial 16S ribosomal RNA". It matches the Rfam family "Bacterial small subunit ribosomal RNA", at positions 338 to 795 of the family's 1533-position model. The record is from RNAcentral.